CAGGAUGAACGCUAGCUACAGGCUUAACACAUGCAAGUCGAGGGGCAGCAUGACGAUAGCUUGCUAUUGUCGAUGGCGACCGGCGCACGGGUGAGUAACGCGUAUCCAACCUUCCCAUAGCUAGGGAAUAACCUUGCGAAAGUAAGACUAAUGUCCUAUGUUGUUCUUUGCAGACAUCUAAAGAGAACGAAAGAUUUAUCGGCUAUGGAUGGGGAUGCGUCUGAUUAGGUUGUUGGCGGGUAACGGCCCACCGUGGCAUCGAUCGGUAGGGGUUCUGAGAGGAAGGUCCCCCACAUUGGAACUGAGACACGGUCCAAACUCCUACGGGAGGCAGCAGUGAGGAAUAUUGGUCAAUGGGCGGAAGCCUGAACCAGCCAAGUAGCGUGAAGGAUGACUGCCCUAUGGGUUGUAAACUUCUUUUAUGCGGGGAUAAAGUUCGCCACGUGUGGCGUUUUGCAGGUACCGCAUGAAUAAGGACCGGCUAAUUCCGUG
RNAcentral lists this ribosomal RNA (492 nucleotides) under uncultured bacterium. RNAcentral's name for it is "bacterial SSU rRNA". It matches the Rfam family "Bacterial small subunit ribosomal RNA", at positions 25 to 507 of the family's 1533-position model. The record is from RNAcentral.